ACUCCUACGGGAGGCAGCAGUAGGGAAUAUUGGACAAUGGGCGAAAGCCUGAUCCAGCAAUGCCGCGUGAGUGAUGAAGGCCUUAGGGUUGUAAAGCUCUUUUACCCGGGAUGAUAAUGACAGUACCGGGAGAAUAAGCUCCGGCUAACUCCGUGCCAGCAGCCGCGGUAAUACGGAGGGAGCUAGCGUUGUUCGGAAUUACUGGGCGUAAAGCGCACGUAGGCGGCUAUUCAAGUCAGAGGUGAAAGCCCGGGGCUCAACCCCGGAACUGCCUUUGAAACUAGAUAGCUUGAAUCCAGGAGAGGUGAGUGGAAUUCCGAGUGUAGAGGUGAAAUUCGUAGAUAUUCGGAAGAACACCAGUGGCGAAGGCGGCUCACUGGACUGGUAUUGACGCUGAGGUGCGAAAGCGUGGGAGCAAACAGGAUUAGAUACCCGUGGUAGGAUAGCG
This 448-nucleotide ribosomal RNA is filed under the name uncultured bacterium. RNAcentral's name for it is "bacterial SSU rRNA". It matches the Rfam family "Bacterial small subunit ribosomal RNA", at positions 335 to 799 of the family's 1533-position model. The record is from RNAcentral.